Molecule: long non-coding RNA, 1987 nt
Organism: Lycium ferocissimum
Lineage: Eukaryota; Viridiplantae; Streptophyta; Magnoliopsida; Solanales; Solanaceae
Exons: 2
Source: RefSeq, a predicted model, not a curated record
AAAAAAAAAUCAAAAUUUGUAAAAAUCCAACAACGGUAUUUUUCAUUUUUUUUCCAAUCAAAUAAAUUCAAAUCUUUAAAUAUAUACAAUGUAAACUUAAUGAAACAUACACACACAACUACAAUCACAGGUAAGCAACGACCAGAAAGAGGAAGAAUCAGAAGGAGGAGGAAGAAGCAAUUUCCUGAGAAGUCUUCUUCCACCUUCUCUCUUACUCUCUCUCUAUCAAAGUUACCGUUAAGUGCUGUUGGAACUCGCCGGUGCGAGAAAGUUCCUCACCGUGGACCUUCCGGUCCUCAGUGACCCGCCUUCGAAUCCGAAUCUAGCAAACUGUGCACAGAACCCAUGUCCGUCCACCCCAUCAUUCACUUCCCCCCACCAAAUCCCACAAGCUCUGUUUCUAGACUUCCCCCAAUUUCUUCUAAUCCCUAAAACCCUAAUCAAUCCUUCUCUGCAUCUUCAUCUCAAAUGCACAACAAUGGAAAGGAACCCCAAAUUUUUUCUUACACUAGUACUGUUGGUAAUCGUAACAUCAAAAGAUCAAGAGUUCGUCUCUCUCCUAGACUGCACAGAAUGAUCAAUGGGAAACCAAUUGUGUCCUUCUCUCAAGAUGAAAACAAAUUGCUGGCCCAAACCUACAAAUGGACAAUAAUAGGCAUUUUCACUCAUAUCCGACCCUCGAUUGACAUCAUCAGAAAAGAAACUGCUAAAAUCUUUCCGAGCAAAGGUAUGAUCUAGGGUUGGAGACAGCUGAACAUCUUUUCUGCAAAGGACACUAUGCACAACUCAUUUGGAGUUUCUUUGCUGGAAGAAUGGGAAUCAUCAUAAAAAAUGCUAACCUCAGAGAUAUAUUGCAAAGGUGCUGGAACUGCUCAACCAAAAAUCCUGUUGCUGCCUACAUUUUGAAGAUCAUCCCACCAAUCAAUAUGUGGGAACUUUGGAGAUCAAGAUGCAGCUCUAAAUAUGAGGAUGAAAAACCUUCUACCAGAAGAUCUAUCUCCCUUAUUUCUUUCAAUAUCUGCUAGUUAGCAAAGAAAACAUUCCCUAGAAUUGAAAUUCCUGACUACUGGAACAAUCUACUCAAGAUUAUGGAAGCUAACUUAAUUGAUAAUACUAUCAUUCCUGUUAAAUGGAUCAAGCCCCCUAUUCUUUUUGUCAAGAUGAAUUCUGAUGGAUCUUGUGUUGGAGAAAAUAGUGGAGGGGGUGGAGUGGUUAGAUACUCUAUGGGUAACUGCAUUAUGGCAUUCAUCCUCCUACUAGUAAAUGGUACCAGCAACACUCCAGAGGCAAAUGCAUUCCUUUUUUGCCCCAGAUGGUGCAUCAACAAUGGCUACAACCUUAUUAUUGCUGAAACUUAUUCUUUACUCCUUCGAAACUGCAUUGCAGAUAAUUGGACUUCUCCAUGGAGGAUUAAAGAAACAGUAGAAGAAAUUAAGAAGCUAGCUCUUGGUCAUGAGAUAGUCUUUAAUCAUUGUUUUAGAGAAGCCAACAAAAUGGCAGAUAAGCUUGUUUUUGUGAGUUAUGCAUCUGAGAUAACAAGAUUUAUACCCAUCCAAACUCUUUGUCAAGGCAAGUCAAGGGUCUUCUGAACAUGAAUAGAUGGCAAUUUCCUACUUUUAGAGUUAACCAAAAAAAAAAAAAAAAAAAAGAAGCCAGGCAUAUUUAUUUUGAUCCCCCUUGAACUGCCUCUAAGUUGCCACUCAUGUGUAUAUUUUUUUGCUCAAAAAACUUCUACAAUUCUCCAAGAAGGCAAGUCCUAGUCCUCCUUCUUCAAAUGCAAUUCUCUUCAGAUGGCAAUGAAAUAUGGACAUAAUGGAUGUUAAUUAAAACAAAAAAAAAUACGAAAAAAAAGAAAAAAAAGAGAUGCAAUUUCCUGGGAAAAAGUUAAAUCUGUUAAAUUAACUUUUGUUUUAACAAGCUAAAAAAUUAAAUGAUGUCCGUAGAAAGGACAUCCCACAUAAAUUCCUUUAAAUUUUGUCUCUUUUUU